Molecule: long non-coding RNA, 235 nt
Filed under: Hordeum vulgare
Lineage: Eukaryota; Viridiplantae; Streptophyta; Magnoliopsida; Poales; Poaceae
Description: long non-coding RNA (HVUL_LNC016222)
Source: RNAcentral
GAGGUUCGGUCGUACAUGGGGUGACGACGGCGAGGAGGAAGACGGUCGUCUCAUGGGCCGCGCGCAAGGAAAGAAGAAGACGGGCCAUGGGGAAGGAGGGAGCCAGCCCACGUGCGCCUGAUAACCAGAGAAGAACAGAUAAAAGGGUUUUUUCUAUUUUCCAAUAAACCAAACAAGGCAAAAAUAUCCAGAGUAAAACACGGUGUUAAAAAUAAAAAGAAGAUCACCCGGGGCA